CCCAGUAUAGUGUAACGGCUAUCACAUUACGCUCUUGCUGUGUAUGCCGGGGUUCGACUCCCCGCAGUGGAA
Molecule: transfer RNA, 72 nt
Filed under: Lachancea thermotolerans CBS 6340
Lineage: Eukaryota; Fungi; Ascomycota; Saccharomycetes; Saccharomycetales; Saccharomycetaceae
Rfam family: tRNA
About the family: Transfer RNA (tRNA) molecules are approximately 80 nucleotides in length. Their secondary structure includes four short double-helical elements and three loops (D, anti-codon, and T loops). Further hydrogen bonds mediate the characteristic L-shaped molecular structure. tRNAs have two regions of fundamental functional importance: the anti-codon, which is responsible for specific mRNA codon recognition, and the 3' end, to which the tRNAs corresponding amino acid is attached (by aminoacyl-tRNA synthetases). tRNAs cope with the degeneracy of the genetic code in two manners: having more than one tRNA (with a specific anti-codon) for a particular amino acid; and 'wobble' base-pairing, i.e. permitting non-standard base-pairing at the 3rd anti-codon position.
Source: Rfam by way of RNAcentral